This 393-nucleotide ribosomal RNA is filed under the name uncultured bacterium. RNAcentral describes it as "partial 16S ribosomal RNA". It matches the Rfam family "Bacterial small subunit ribosomal RNA", at positions 523 to 918 of the family's 1533-position model. The record is from RNAcentral.
AUACGGAGGAUCCGAGCGUUAUCCGGAUUUAUUGGGUUUAAAGGGAGCGUAGGUGGGAUAUUAAGUCAGCUGUGAAAGUUUGGGGCUCAACCUUAAAAUUGCAGUUGAUACUGGUUUCCUUGAGUACGGUACAGGUGGGCGGAAUUCGUGGUGUAGCGGUGAAAUGCUUAGAUAUCACGAAGAACUCCGAUCGCGAAGGCAGCUCACCGGGCCGGAACUGACACUGAUGCUCGAAAGUGCGGGUAUCAAACAGGAUUAGAUACCCUGGUAGUCCGCACAGUAAACGAUGAAUACUCGCUGUUUGCGAUACACUGUAAGCGGCCAAGCGAAAGCGUUAAGUAUUCCACCUGGGGAGUACGCCGGCAACGGUGAAACUCAAAUGAAUUGACGGGG